UACAUGGGGUGCAAACGUUGCUCGGAAUUAUUGGGCGUAAAGCGCACGUAGGCGGUUCGUUAAGUCGGAUGUGAAAGCCCUCGGCUCAACUGAGGAAGUGCACCCGAAACUGGCGAGCUUGAGUACGAAAGAGGAUCGCGGAAUUCCCGGUGUAGAGGUGAAAUUCGUAGAUAUCGGGAGGAACACCGGGUGGCGAAGGCGGCGAUCUGGGUCGAUACUGACGCUGAGGUGCGAAAGCGUGGGGAGCGAACAGG
This 254-nucleotide ribosomal RNA is filed under the name uncultured bacterium. RNAcentral's name for it is "partial 16S ribosomal RNA". It matches the Rfam family "Bacterial small subunit ribosomal RNA", at positions 524 to 776 of the family's 1533-position model. The record is from RNAcentral.